GACGAACGCUGGCGGCGUGCUUAACACAUGCAAGUCGAGCGGAAAGGCCCUUCGGGGUACUCGAGCGGCGAACGGGUGAGUAACACGUGAGUAACCUGCCCCAGACUUUGGGAUAACCCUCGGAAACGGGGGCUAAUACCGGAUACGACACAGCUUCGCAUGGGGUCUGUGUGGAAAGUUUUUCGGUUUGGGAUGGGCUCGCGGCCUAUCAGCUUGUUGGUGGGGUGAUGGCCUACCAAGGCGACGACGGGUAGCCGGCCUGAGAGGGCGACCGGCCACACUGGGACUGAGACACGGCCCAGACUCCUACGGGAGGCAGCAGUGGGGAAUAUUGCACAAUGGGCGGAAGCCUGAUGCAGCGACGCCGCGCGAGGGAUGACGGCCUUCGGGUUGUAAACCUCUUUCAGCAGGGACGAAGCGUAAGUGACGGUACCUGCAGAAGAAGCGCCGGCCAACUACGUG
This 462-nucleotide ribosomal RNA is filed under the name uncultured bacterium. Its description in RNAcentral is "partial 16S ribosomal RNA". It matches the Rfam family "Bacterial small subunit ribosomal RNA", at positions 28 to 507 of the family's 1533-position model. The record is from RNAcentral.